This 95-nucleotide small nuclear RNA is filed under the name Phascolarctos cinereus (koala). The record is from RNAcentral. Lineage: Eukaryota; Metazoa; Chordata; Mammalia; Diprotodontia; Phascolarctidae.
AUGCUUGCUUCUGCAGCACAUAUACUAACAUUGGAAUGAUACAGAGAUUAGCACUGUCUCUGUGCAUGCAAAUUCAUGAAGUGUUCCAUAUUAAA